Molecule: ribosomal RNA, 305 nt
Filed under: uncultured bacterium
Lineage: Bacteria
Description: bacterial SSU rRNA
Rfam family: Bacterial small subunit ribosomal RNA
Source: RNAcentral
CCUCCCUACGGGGGGCAGCAGUCGGGAAUAUUGCGCAAUGGAGGAAACUCUGACGCAGUGACGCCGCGUAUAGGACGAAGGUCUUCGGAUUGUAAACUUCUGUCGCGAGGGACGAAGAAUGACGGUACCUCGUAAGAAAGCCCCGGCUAACUACGUGCCAGCAGCCGCGGUAAUACGUAGGGGGCAAGCGUUGUCCGGAAUGACUGGGCGUAAAGGGAGUGUAGGCGGCCUUGUAAGUUAGAUGUGAAAUCCUACGGCUUAACCGUAGAACUGCAUCUAAAACUGUGAGGCUGGAGUGCAGGAGG